GACCUUCUGGCGCAACGGUAGCGCGUCCCUAGAAAUUGUGUCCUCCUGACCCUUUUCAGGGGAGGGCGUCGGUUCGACUCCGGCAAGGGUCA
Mycena polygramma is the source of this 92-nucleotide non-coding RNA. The record is from the annotation of a GenBank genome assembly. NCBI's taxonomy places the organism in Eukaryota, Fungi, Basidiomycota, Agaricomycetes, Agaricales, Mycenaceae.